This 22-nucleotide microRNA is filed under the name Danio rerio (zebrafish). RNAcentral describes it as "dre-miR-196c". Its record names the gene dre-miR-196c. Lineage: Eukaryota; Metazoa; Chordata; Actinopteri; Cypriniformes; Danionidae. The record is from miRBase by way of RNAcentral.
UAGGUAGUUUGAUGUUGUUGGG